CCUACGGGAGGCAGCAGUGGGGAAUAUUGGACAAUGGGCGAAAGCCUGAUCCAGCAAUACCGCGUGUGUGAAGAAGGCCUUAGGGUUGUAAAGCACUUUCAAUUGGGAGGAAAACCUACCGGUCAAUACCCGGUAGCUUGACAUUACCUUUAGAAGAAGCACCGGCUAACUCCGUGCCAGCAGCCGCGGUAAUACGGAGGGUGCAAGCGUUAAUCGGAAUUACUGGGCGUAAAGCGUGCGUAGGCGGUUCGUUAAGUCAGAUGUGAAAGCCCCGGGCUCAACCUGGGAACUGCAUUUGAAACUGGCGAACUAGAGUUUAGUAGAGGGGAGUGGAAUUUCAGGUGUAGCGGUGAAAUGCGUAGAUAUCUGAAGGAACACCAGUGGCGAAGGCGACUCCCUGGACUAAACUGACGCUGAGGUACGAAAGCGUGGGUAGCAAACAGGAUUAGAUACCCUGGUAGUCCACGCCGUAAACGAUGUCAACUAGCCGUUGGUCCUCUAUGUAGGUAGUUAGUGGUCGCGAGCUACGACAUUAAGUUAGUACCGCCGUCGGGAGGUACGGCCGCGAACGUUAAACGUACGAAGUAGUAAGUUAGUACGGUUCGUUGUAGACGUUGCCGACGGCGACGACGAGGGAGGAGG
Molecule: ribosomal RNA, 642 nt
Filed under: uncultured bacterium
Lineage: Bacteria
Description: bacterial SSU rRNA
Rfam family: Bacterial small subunit ribosomal RNA (bases 1-548)
Source: RNAcentral